CUCAAAAUGAAUCUGUCUGGAAGAGAACCCCUUCUCUGAAGAGGAAUUAACACAUCCCUUCCAGACUCAAAGGCUUUUCCUCGCAGCUGACACCCCAUGCACAGCGACGGAAGCAAAGCAAAAGUCCAGCGCUUACUGUGACAGAACAAGUUAGUCUGUAGCUCACGGAACCUUUCCUUAACCCAAAUCAUCAAUUGAGAUGGAUCGCCAUAUUCCUACCGUACCCACGAGAUCUGUUUCCAGAAACAUAACAUCUGUUAUUUGUAUAAAAGGGACGUGUUUGUCCAGGCUUCAUGGGGCUGCCUGUGCAAAGCUUUUCCUCCAUCUGCUUCGUGCUCUGGCAGCAGCGUUAUCAAGAGAGUGAUCCAUGCUGAG
This 375-nucleotide long non-coding RNA is filed under the name Equus caballus (horse). RNAcentral describes it as "lncRNA (ENSECAG00000049450.1)". The record is from RNAcentral. Lineage: Eukaryota; Metazoa; Chordata; Mammalia; Perissodactyla; Equidae.